This 497-nucleotide ribosomal RNA is filed under the name uncultured bacterium. Its description in RNAcentral is "partial 16S ribosomal RNA". It matches the Rfam family "Bacterial small subunit ribosomal RNA", at positions 28 to 507 of the family's 1533-position model. The record is from RNAcentral.
GAUGAACGCUGGCGGCGUGCUUAAUACAUGCAAGUCGAGCGAACAGACGAGGAGCUUGCUCCUCUGACGUUAGCGGCGGACGGGUGAGUAACACGUGUAUAACCUACCUAUAAGACUGGGAUAACUUCGGGAAACCGGAGCAAACCGCGGAUAAUAUAUUGAACCGCAGGGUUGAAUAGUGAAAUUCGGCUUUGCUGUCACUAAUAGAUGGAUCUGCGCCGCCUUAGCUAGUUGGUAAGGUAACAGGUUUCCAAGGCAACGAUGCGUAGCCCACCUGAGAGGGUGGUCGCCCACACUGGAACUGAGACACGGUCCAGGCUCCUACGGGAGGCCGCAGUAGGGAAUCUUCCGCAGUGGGCGGAAACCUGACGGAGCAACGCCGCGUGAGUGAUGAAGGUCUUCGGAUCGUAAAACUCUGUUAUUAGGGAAAAACAAAUGUGUAAGUAACUAUGCACGUCUUGACGGUACCUGGUCAGAAAGCCCCGGCUAACUACGUG